GUGGGCCCCAAUGGCAUCUGACAGUUGGCAGUUGGACAAGGUUCUGAGCAGGCAAGACCCUUGAACUGUUGAACUUGCUUUUUGGGAUUCGGAC
RNAcentral lists this microRNA precursor (94 nucleotides) under Eptesicus fuscus (big brown bat). Its description in RNAcentral is "microRNA efu-mir-9320 precursor". Lineage: Eukaryota; Metazoa; Chordata; Mammalia; Chiroptera; Vespertilionidae. The record is from miRBase by way of RNAcentral.